CUCAUUUGUAACUCUUUAUUACGACGUAAUGAAACCGAACCAUUUUUGAAGAAGCUGAUAACUGGUGAUGAAAAUUGGAUCACGUACGACAAGAUAGUGCGAAAAAGGUCGUGGUCAAAGGCCGGUCACGCUUCACAGACUGUGGCGAAGCCCGGGUUAACUCGCAACAAGGUGAUGCUGUGUGUGUGGUGGGAUUGGAAGGGCAUUAUUCAUUAUGAGCUGUUACCACCAGGCAGGACCAUCGAUUCUGAACUCCACUGCGAACAAGUGAUGAGAUUAAAGCAAGAAGUUGAGAGAAAACGGCCGGAAUUAAACAAUAGAAGGGGUGUAGUUUUUCAUCAUGAUAACGCUAGGUCUCACACAUCUUUAGCCACUCAGCAAAAAUUAAGAGAGCUUGACUGGGAGGUGUUAAUGCAUCCGCCGUAUAGUCCUGGCCUUGCACCUUCAGAUUUCCACCUGUUUCGGUCUUUUCAGAAUUCUUUAGGCAGUGUCAGGUUAACUUCACGAGAGGACUGCCAAAACCAAUUGUCGCGGUAUUUUGAUCAGAAGCCCAAAGAUUUCUAUGUCUAGCAAAGGAAUCAUGUUCCUACCUACAAGAUGGCAAAAAGCUAUCGAACAAAAUGGUACUUACAUACUUUAGUAAAAUGUAAAUAAACUACAUUAAAGAAUGUUGUGAAUUUUCUUAAAAAAUGCGAAGAAACUUUUUCCCCAAUAUAUGGCAUGUUGUAUAUGGCAUGUUGUUACUAUGCAAAAAUAUUUCUUCAGCUAUUUUAACGGGGUAAACUUAAUUUAAGUUCAAUUAAAAACAUCGAAUCAUCAGUCUUCGAAAAUUCGCUGAUUUACGAAUAUGUAUUAUACAUAACUAGCCUUUCACCCAUCGAUAUUAUUUAUUAUAAUCAAUCACGUUUCAAAGAAAUUUGUUCUUUGAGGCACGUGCUACGUGAUAAUUUAAACAAUUCUAUUGGUAUUAUAAAAUGACGUGUCCAUCUGUAAUUGCUAUAGCAUUUAGUAAGUAAAUUGGGCUUCUAUUAAUAUGAAUGUUAUUUAAUGAUUUUCACCAACAGAUUCGUAAAAAGAACUUGAUUAUAAUUUACAUGGAAAAAAAAAACGUGUAUUACUUAUGGUAUCUAUUAUAAGCAUAUAGGGGUGAGUAUCACCACCCUGCCUAGGUUCCUUUGGUCAUCCGUCCUGGUUUAAAUGGUGGGACCACAGUUAUACUAUACAAUUGAUACUUGGACCACAAUUCUUAAGGUGAUUUUCGCGUUUAAGGUUUCGGCUGAGAAAUUAACAACAAGCGGGCCGUGUGAGUUCAUUAGCCCAUCUAUGGUCAAGAUAUAAAACGAGCAGCUAUUUAUUGAAUAACAAGAAGACAAACGGGUCACACGAAUUAAGGUUAAAAGUUUCUCAAUUAUUUGUGGCGAUUAAUGUGGCUAAUUGAAUAUAACUGAUAAGUGAAGAUUGUUUAUGUUUACUGCUAUGAAAAACAUUUAUGUAUUUAUUUGUAGAGCUUAGAUAAGCUUUCCAAAAUUCUGUAGGUGCGAUCCUACACCAUAACAUAAACAUAAAUUACUUCACUAGCCCAAAAACAGGUAAUUGUGUGACUAACACAUGUAUACAUGAAUAUUCUGAAUGUCUAUACUUUUUUGAGGAUCACUGUAUUACUCUCGAUAGUUUGUACCAUGUGAUAUACUUCACAUGAGCAUAUGUUUAUCAUUUUAUUACAAUACCAGAAAAUUAAAUAGAAAAGGGAUAAUAAAAAUAAAUAAUGAUUAUUAAAAUGAACAUUGUGAAUUCCAAAAUUAAAUUUAGUUCAAAAAAUUCGAAAACGAACGAAUGUAACCAUGUAUGUAUGUGUGCUUAAAUGAUAAAAAAACAAUAAAUACUUAUACACCCACAAGAAUUAGAUCUUUUGCAAACGUAGCUGAUCUGCUUAUAUUUGUCUCUUUCACACAAUCAAAUCUUAAGCUGGCUAAGAAAGAAUGUAAUAGAAAUAGCGAAUUAUGGUACUCACAUCGACGCUAUCAAAGUUGUCUUGAUCCGCGAACAUAUCCCAUUCGCUAUCUUUAUUAGACUUUUGCAGUUUGAUUGUGCUCUUAGAUUCGUUCUCGAUUUUCUUGAUGAGCGUUUCACUGCGUGUCUCCGUCCUAAUGUGUUUCCUUUCUUCUUUAUUCUUUUCCUUGUGGUCGUGUGACUUAUUUUUCGAAGUGGGCGACACAGAACGUUGGCUUUGCGGGCUAAACGGUGAAGCCGUUGCGUUUUGCGUGCGUUCCACGGUCGAAUUCCCUUCAGAUGUCGACUGAGUAUCGCAUCCAAGUUUCUGUUAUAACAUUAAACAUCAUAUUAAACAAUCUAGUUUAUAUCGAAACAUUUUCAUAAACUAUCUCAGUAAAAAAAGGGUACGUGUACUUAUGUACGCGCGUAAGAAGUUAUACUUUAUUUUUAUUAAAUUUUUUUCUUUUUUUUUUCUUUUAAUCAAUUUGAAAAAAAAUCGAUUAAACAACAUCCUCAAACACGCAUAUUGUACAUCCCUUUUCUUGACAUCGUAUAAAUUCUCGGUACGGUUUGGAAAGUUCACCUGCGGCUAUAUUCAGACUCGCCAAGUUACGUCGGUCGUAUUGUAAUGAGCGAUUUAGUGGGCAACUUCAUUCUGUUAAUUUUGUGUCAUGGUGCGCGCGCAUCGUAAAAUUUCACUCUCAUCAAUUUUUCAUAACGCGCCUAAAGAAGUAUAACUUCAAAAAAACAUUCAAUUUGUAUUGCAAUUAAUGUUGCCCGUUCAAAAUUUAUCAACAAGCAAUGUCGUUUAUCGACCCCUAUAAUAAGUUCUGGCAAAAGAUCGAUCUCAUAAUACAUCAUCAUAAACACUUAACCUUUAAUACGAAACAAAUUACUAUUUGAUAGAAAAUAAAAGAAACAACAAUAUCAAGUAAAGUCACUACAUAGUAUAAAACAAAGUCGCUUUCUCUGUCCCUAUAUCCCUAUAUAUGCUUACAUCUUUAAAAUUACGCAACGGAUUUUGAUGCGGUUUUUUUUAAUAGAUAGAGUGAUUGAAGAGGAUGGUUUAUAUGUAUAAUAACAUCCAUUAAAUAGUAGAGAAAUCAAUAAUAAAUUACAGUUUCCGAAGCGAAACGAGGGCGGGUCGCUAGUAAUUAAUAUUUUGAAUUUAAAUGUGAAAAUACCUUCAUGAGCUGCUCUCUCUGUUUGCGUCGUCGCUCGAUUAUCUGUUUCUCGGUCUCUUCUUCAUCAUCAUCAGUGUUUAUAUCGAUGUUCAACUCUUCAUCGCUAGAGCUGGGUAUCACGUGCGUGACAUCGGGGGUGCCCUGAAACCAAUAUACAAUAAUUGUUCUUAUACGAGUCACUUUGACAUUAUUUUUGGUGACAUUAUCGGCGUAGCACUAAUUGUACUUUAUGUGUUUUAAUUUCUCGUUGCUUUUAUUGUUUAGUAAGAGUUUAACUAAUUCAUGCUCGUAUUUUUAAGGAAUAUUGUUUUACACGAUUAAAUACGGGAAAGCAUUA
This is a long non-coding RNA of Bombyx mori (domestic silkworm), 3513 nucleotides long. RefSeq lists it as uncharacterized. The transcript has 2 exons. The record is from RefSeq and is a predicted model, not a curated record. NCBI's taxonomy places the organism in Eukaryota, Metazoa, Arthropoda, Insecta, Lepidoptera, Bombycidae.